UAAGGAAUAUUGCUCAAUGGGAGAAAUCCUGAAGCAGCAACGCCGCGUGGAGGAUGAAGGGUCUAUGACUUGUAAACUCCUGUAAAGAAGGAAAAAAUUCCCAUUAGAUGGGAGAUGAUGGUACUUCUGGAGUAAGCCCCGGCUAACUACGUGCCAGCAGCCGCGGUAAUACGUAGGGGGCAAGCGUUGUCCGGAUUUACUGGGUGUAAAGGGUGCUCAGGCGGAUUUGUAAGUCAGAGGUGAAAUCUUACAGCUUAACUGUGAAACUGCCGUUGAUACUGCAAGCCUAGAGUAUGGAAGAGGGUGAUGGAAUAUCUGGUGUAGCAGUGAAAUGCGUAGAUAUCAGAUAGAACACCAAUGGCGAAGGCAGUCACUUGGUCCAUUACUGACGCUAAAGCACGAAAGCGUGGGUAGCAAACA
RNAcentral lists this ribosomal RNA (420 nucleotides) under uncultured bacterium. RNAcentral's name for it is "bacterial SSU rRNA". It matches the Rfam family "Bacterial small subunit ribosomal RNA", at positions 355 to 774 of the family's 1533-position model. The record is from RNAcentral.